Molecule: ribosomal RNA, 253 nt
Filed under: uncultured bacterium
Lineage: Bacteria
Description: partial 16S ribosomal RNA
Rfam family: Bacterial small subunit ribosomal RNA
Source: RNAcentral
UACGUAGGGUGCGAGCGUUAAUCGGAAUUACUGGGCGUAAAGCGUGCGCAGGCGGUUUUGUAAGACAGAUGUGAAAUGCCCGGGCUUAACCUGGGAACUGCAUUUGUGACUGCAAGGCUAGAGUGUGUCAGAGGGGGGUAGAAUUCCACGUGUAGCAGUGAAAUGCGUAGAGAUGUGGAGGAAUACCGAUGGCGAAGGCAGCCCCCUGGGAUAACACUGACGCUCAUGCACGAAAGCGUGGGGAGCAAACAGG